UACGUAGGUGGCAAGCGUUAUCCGGAUUUACUGGGUGUAAAGGGCGUGUAGGCGGGACUGCAAGUCAGAUGUGAAACCCAUGGGCUCAACCCAUGGCCUGCAUUUGAAACUGUAGUUCUUGAGUGAUGGAGAGGCAGGCGGAAUUCCGUGUGUAGCGGUGAAAUGCGUAGAUAUUAGGAAGAACACCAGUGGCGAAGGCGGAUGACUGGACGACAACUGACGGUGAGGCGCGAAAGCGUGGGGAGCAAACAGG
RNAcentral lists this ribosomal RNA (253 nucleotides) under uncultured Oscillospira sp. RNAcentral's name for it is "partial 16S ribosomal RNA". It matches the Rfam family "Bacterial small subunit ribosomal RNA", at positions 524 to 776 of the family's 1533-position model. Lineage: Bacteria; Bacillati; Bacillota; Clostridia; Eubacteriales; Oscillospiraceae. The record is from RNAcentral.